AAAAGUUAUUAUUUUUAUUCUCACUGCAAUGACUUGUUAAAAUGUUAUUUUGAAUACGAAUAUUCAAAACAUAAUCGCUCAUUUACCCAGCUUGUACAGUAUUUACAUUUCAGUUUGUAAAUACAGAUGGCACCACAUCUCCUACUAUCAUUGCGGCUACAAACAAUUUCAGAAUUGCAUUUGUCACCGUUUUACGCCAGGGUCUGUUCUACCCGCCUUGUGUGACAGAGCUGCUCAUGGGUGGGUACAGGCUGCCGCGCUAAUCCGUUUAGCUGUGAUGAAGCGCAAGGCAUCCGAGAGACUCCGCGUCGUGGUCACGCCAGCGCGCCUGGUAGCAAAUCGGCAGUCCGGUGAUGGAUUACUGCAGCUGAAAUGAAGAAUAAAGAAGGAUGAAACCGCUAGGUGGCAGGAGAAAUCUCCAUCUGUCCCACUGUCAGCACUGGCUGUACUGGAAGCUAAGCAAACACCCCAAGACAAGAGCUGAAAGAGCUGCUUUGAUUAUACAGACCGGGAGGCGUUUGACCAGACUGACAUCCUCACCUCCUGUUGGAGGUCUGUGGGGAGGAGGGGGCGCUGCUAUCAACACAUUCCAGGGGAGCCCCACCCAGGUCCAGCAGCUUUUCCAGAUCACUCCUAAAGGGGCAGUUUCUGAAUUGCUCAGUACUGUUCAAUGAAGCAGGUGAUUCGGGCAAUCAGGUAGUUUGAAGAUCAUCCAUCCAUCCAUUUUCCAACUGCUUUAUCCGAUACAGGGUUUCAGGGGAGCCGCAACUUAUCUCGGCAAGCAACAGGAGCAGGGCAGGGUACAUCCUGGAUGGGACACCAGUCCAUCACAGGGCAGACACAGGCAUGAACACACACACUCACUCCAGGACCAGUUUUCCCAGCUUACCCGUAUGUUUUCCCAAUUAACCUACCAGUUUUCCCAAUUAACCUACCAACCUAACCUACCAUGUUCUGGGACUGUGAAACCAGAGCACCUGGAGGAAACCCACAGGUAGAACAUGCAAACUCCACACAGACAGCACCCCAGGUCUGGACUUAAACCCUGGGCAGCGAGGCAGCAAUGCAGAUCACUGAGCCACCGUGCCACCUGCUGAAACCUGUAGCUGAAUGCAAGAAAUUCCCUGGCUGCCUUCAUAACCACAUCAGAAAAAUCACGGAGUGAUUCUGUGCUUCGUUUUUUAAACGACAUUCCAUGUAUACAGUACAGCUAUCCAUAUAAAAUGCUUCUUUCAUUCAUCUGUUCAUGCUGGUAUACAUAUACAGUGUUCUACAGCAUUGAAGCUUAUUGCUCUCUGGCGGUAUAUUAUGUGUCCUUUUGUACGAUACUUUUAUGUCAGCAAGAUGAAAACCGCUGUCAGCAAAGUGUGGAAGAACAGUCACAGCCUCUAAAAGAUGAACGGGGUAAUUAAGGUUGUCUCUUCAUGGGAAGACAUGGAUUAAGGGUUCAUUGUGCAGUUCUACAAUUCUGCAGACUGCAUGCGUGGGAAAAACAGGCUGAAUCUGAAUUAUGAUUGCUGUGGUUGGACCACAUUUACAUAUUUUAACAUGCGAUUCACAUUGCAGAUAAAUCUAAAUCAAAUAGUAUUAUUUCCUGGGUUUAGCUAUGUCAGCCAAGAAACCCUUGGUUUCCUUGACAAUUUUUCCCCAAAACUACAAGCUUCCUUCUGUUAGCACGUGCAUCUAUUGCAAUUUCUUAGAAAAAUGCCUGAAAUGAUGAGCUAGGCCAGGGAUCCCCAAUUCUGAUCCUGGAGGAAUCUUAUCUCAAGGUUUUCAGUGCAGACUGCUUUAAGGGGACAUGGAAAACCUGGAGACACACUAACCAGCCCUCCAGGACCAGGACUGGGCACCAGUGACCUAUGGAGUUAACUGGUGGUCCAAUACAAUCUUCUAGUGGUCUGUCAAUCUUUUAUUGGAAUGUCAAAACUAAUCUCUCUUACAUGUUGGAGAAGCAACCUUCUUAUCACAGGUCUAACUAAUAGAACAGGUUACACACAGCAACUAGUGUUUACUGGGGGGACAUACAAUCCAAUCACCAAGAGCGUUGUCACAUUUUCACUGGGAAAAAGGAAAAUGAACGAAGAAGAAGCCAGGGAGUCAGCAAAUGAGGUUGUGAAGCGGAACGCUCCGGGGUAGAGAUAAAAGAACAUCAGAUUAGCAAAUCACUUUUAAGAGGCAUGUCUUUCAGAUUUCCUUUGCGCUCAAAUUGACCAUGAUUGAUUCAUUUUAAUAACGUUCUCAGCCGUGCUGGAAGUGGGUGUGUGGAGCUUCUGGAGCUACCGAGCAGCUCUCUGCCUCCAGUGCACCAGUGGAUUGCACUAAUUAAAACAUGGGAUCCUGGAUUGCCCUGUCUUGUUUAUUAAUCUGUUAUGUACAGCACUCUACAAUUGAAUGCACUGAUUGAUCAGCUGCAGACUGCAGAACGGUGCUAAAUGGGCUGUAUUUAGGUCACUCAAACUGUCUUCCCCAUCCUCCGCCGUAUGCCCAAUAUAUUUAAUGUGUGCAUGUUCACUAUCUGCUUUCUGUCACAGCUCCGACCACAGUUUCCAUACCCAGGCAUCCUUUGCUCAAGCAAUGCUGUUUUUCCUUCUCUUUUACUCAUUUGUCCGACACCUUUAUCCAAAGCAACUUCCAUUUGCACCGCUGGGUGUCUUCCUGGAGCAAUUUGGCUGCCUUUGCUCAAAGGGUCCAGCAGAAGCAGCAUCUCACCUGGGAUUUGAACCUACAACCUUCCAGUUACAAGCCCAGAUGCCCUGACCCCUGCUGCUACCACGCUGCUACCUUGCUUCACACCCCAUGAGUGUAAUAAUUCAGUGUUUCUCUUGCUUGGCUGAAGCAGCUAAUGUUUGCAACACAAUUGGAGCCCCCAAUUAGGCUCUGUUAUGAGCUAAAGGUAACUUUGACUGCCCACCUGGCAGUGCCAGCAGGACUGAGCAUUGAGCAGCAACUCCAGUCUGCUGUGCCACUGGACCUCCUGUGGCAUGCUGGAUGCUUGUGAGCGUGCAUUGGUAUAGUGUGAGAGCUGUUUCAGUACUGGACUCAAUGCUCACUCUGCAGUGGGCUCUGUGGGGCUCGCACAACGUGAACGCAGGUGGUGGCAAGAUGGGGUGACAAGAUUGGUUGUUUGCAAAAAUAAUCAGAGUAAGUAGAGCACUGAUUUACCCAAAGGCAUGUGGGGGUAUGGAGCAAGCUACCUAGCCAUGUUGUCAAAAGCAAUACCCUGGCUUCUUCCAGGAAAUGGCUGGAUGAGAGCCUCAGAUCAAUCAGUUACUUAACGAGCUCAGUGGGCUAAAUGACCUCCUUUUCCUUGUAGCCUUAUGUUCUUCCGUAGAGGUUUCAAAUCUCUGGAAGGAAAAUUAAACAGAUUAUAAAUUUAUGAACAAACAGGAAGGAUGACUGACACUUUUUAAAUCAUUCCAUCAUCCUAGCCUUGCUUUCUUGUUCUCUCUAGUCUAGUAUACACCUUGUACUGCUGCAGGUUAUUCCCAGCUGGGGUGCAAUUUUUCAAAUCUGUAGCAGCUAAACGAAAAGUUGGGAUUUCCAUCACAAUCAUCACCCUCCCUCUCCUCCCCCCUCCCCUUCCCUUCUCUGGGCUUCAGGGUGAAUUUAUUCUGGCAAACACUAAAUCAAGUGGGAAUAUUAUGCAUGCAAAAAGAAUAGCAUAAAUUAUAGAAGCAUUGCAUCACGCACUACAGCUGAAGGACUCAAAUCCAGCACAGUAUGUGUACAUCACAGUUCAGACAACGUUGCGGUAGGAAAAUGCAUGGGGGUUGCAAAAAAUAAAUGUCACCGAGCAACUAGCUUCAGCUGCACUGUAACAGAAUUACCUGGAGGUAUUGUACCAAGCCCUGCAUGUGACUCUGGUGAAGACGAAAUGAAACAAUCUCUGCAGAGAUGUACAUUUCAGUUAAUCAAUAAACCACAUCGAUUCCUCCACACCGCUCUUCGUAAGGACAGAAUAAGCAAGCAUGAAUAGUUUUGCAUUUCUUUGACCUCCCCCAUGGUACAGAGACGUAGACCAACAAAAUGAAAUCACACACCAGUGCGACAACUUCAGAUGCAGCCCCAGGGACCAGAAUAACAGGGCGAGAGUAGAAGUUUAAAUAACCUUUUCCUGCCACCUGAUGAAGUUUUGCCCCCAAUAUACGUCUUUAUUUAACUAAUCACGUAAAAGCUUUAUGAUAUGUCUAUUGAAUGAAAGCUGGGGUAUAAGGUAUAUAAAGGUAUAUAAAACAUAUACCUUCCACGUUAGCGAUAGUGCCCAGGGAUAUACUAAGACAUGCACAUCAUAGCGCUAGCAGACUCCCUGUGAAGCCCCAGGUUGCUGUUGUUAACACAGAUGCAGAGACGAAGUUUGUCAGUCAGCUGUGAAAUGCGGUUGACCUCACUGACAACCCCGCCCAAGGCAAGAGCCGGCCCAGCUGUCGGGCUGCUGGUCAGGCAUGUGGACCUCAGCGGCCAGCCCGCCACCCACUUUGCACUGGCGAGCGGUGCCCACUGGAGUGGUCUGUCUAUGCUCUGGGCUCACUUUCUCAAAACGCUGGUGUGCAGAAGCCGUAGCGCUGGGAGGAGUGGGAUCUGGUGCAUGAAACUACUGUGUGGCGUUUUGAGGUAAUUUCGUGCAGCACCAAGGGCUGCUAAACUCUCUUACGUGGCUUUCCAAUGCUGCACUCAGGGGACAUAGGCCACAGGCUGGGUCCUCAGCACGUCGGAGUCACAGGCAUGAUACAGUUUGAUCAGGAUUAGGAGCGACUAAAGAUAAAGCAUGGGACUAGCCAUGUGCACAAGUCCUUUAUUUUUCCCCGUGCCCUCAGUAUGUGAUACGUGCAGCAGAGACUGCAGAGCAUAAGACUCCAUAAGGGACUUUGAUAGCCUUCAAAACCAAAAGUACUGAAGGUUGAAAGGCAUCUGGGAUGAAACACGAGCAUGCGAAAUUCAGUUCUGAGGGGCUCCUGAGGAAAAUUAAUACUAGGCUGGGGGCUGUAGGCUGGGGGCUUAGGAUUGCAGGAGGAAUAGCUCCACAGUUUAUCGUUUCAACCCUGGCAGUGAGUUUUUCUUUUUUCCUCCUUUCAUUUCGGUUGCUCCACGCAAUGCCCCUGGAGCUCCAGUCUGUAAUGAUCUGGGUCACUGCAGAACAGGCCAUUUCUGACGCAUGUAGAGAGAAAUGUAAUCAUCUU
This is a long non-coding RNA of Lepisosteus oculatus (spotted gar), 5177 nucleotides long. NCBI's taxonomy places the organism in Eukaryota, Metazoa, Chordata, Actinopteri, Semionotiformes, Lepisosteidae. The record is from Ensembl.